Molecule: ribosomal RNA, 247 nt
Filed under: uncultured beta proteobacterium
Lineage: Bacteria; Pseudomonadati; Pseudomonadota; Betaproteobacteria
Description: partial 16S ribosomal RNA
Rfam family: Bacterial small subunit ribosomal RNA
Source: RNAcentral
CACGCCCUAAACGAUGCUCACUAGGUGUUGGGGAAGCGAUUCCUUGGUACCGUAGCUAACGCGUGAAGUGAGCCGCCUGGGGAGUACGGCCGCAAGGUUAAAACUCAAAGGAAUUGACGGGGACCCGCACAAGCGGUGGAUGAUGUGGAUUAAUUCGAUGCAACGCGAACAACCUUACCUACCCUUGACAUGUCCGAGAGCCUGCUGAAAGGUGGGUGUGCCCGAAAGGGAAUCGGAACACAGGUGC